GAUUAUCGGAGGAAAGUGACCUGAAUUCAUAAUC
Non-coding RNA from Myroides profundi, 34 nucleotides. NCBI's taxonomy places the organism in Bacteria, Pseudomonadati, Bacteroidota, Flavobacteriia, Flavobacteriales, Flavobacteriaceae. The record is from Rfam.